UACGUAGGGAGCAAGCGUUGUCCGGAAUUACUGGGCGUAAAGGGCGUGUAGGCGGGAACUUAAGUCAGGUGUGAAAACUCCAGGCUCAACUUGGAGAUUGCAUUUGAAACUAAGUUUCUUGAGGGCAGGAGAGGAAAGUGGAAUUCCUAGUGUAGCGGUGAAAUGCGUAGAUAUUAGGAGGAACACCAGUGGCGAAGGCGACUUUCUGGACUGAACCUGACGCUGAGGCGCGAAAGCGUGGGUAGCAAAC
Molecule: ribosomal RNA, 250 nt
Filed under: uncultured bacterium
Lineage: Bacteria
Description: partial 16S ribosomal RNA
Rfam family: Bacterial small subunit ribosomal RNA
Source: RNAcentral